RNAcentral lists this ribosomal RNA (253 nucleotides) under uncultured bacterium. RNAcentral's name for it is "partial 16S ribosomal RNA". It matches the Rfam family "Bacterial small subunit ribosomal RNA", at positions 524 to 776 of the family's 1533-position model. The record is from RNAcentral.
UACGGAGGGGGCGAGCGUUAUUCGGAAUUAUUGGGCGUAAAGGGCGCGUAGGCGGCCUUGUAAGUCAAAGGUGAAAUCCCUCGGCUCAACUGAGGAACUGCCUUUGAAACUGCAAGGCUUGAGGCCGGGAGGGGGUAGCGGAAUUCCCAAUGUAGCGGUGAAAUGCGUAGAUAUUGGGAGGAACACCAGUGGCGAAGGCGGCUACCUGGACCGGAUCUGACGCUGAGGCACGAAAGCGUGGGUAGCAAACAGG